AGAGUUUGAUCCUGGCUCAGGACGAACGCUGGCGGCGUGCUUAACACAUGCAAGUCGAGCGGUAAGGCCCCUUCGGGGGUACACGAGCGGCGAACGGGUGAGUAACACGUGAGCAACCUACCCUCAACUUUGGGAUAAGCCUCGGAAACGGGGUCUAAUACCGGAUAUGAUCUCCUGCUUCAUGGUGGGGGGUUGAAAGUUCUGGCGGUUGGGGAUGGGCUCGCGGCCUAUCAGCUUGUUGGUGGGGUAAUGGCCUACCAAGGCGUCGACGGGUAGCCGGCCUGAGAGGGCGACCGGCCACACUGGGACUGAGACACGGCCCAGACUCCUACGGGAGGCAGCAGUGGGGAAUAUUGCGCAAUGGACGAAAGUCUGACGCAGCAACGCCGCGUGAGGGAUGACGGCCUUCGGGUUGUAAACCUCUUUCAGCAGGGACGAAGCGAGAGUGACGGUACCUGCAGAAGAAGGACCGGCCAACUACGUGCCAGCAGCCGCGGUAAUUC
This 503-nucleotide ribosomal RNA is filed under the name uncultured bacterium. RNAcentral describes it as "bacterial SSU rRNA". It matches the Rfam family "Bacterial small subunit ribosomal RNA", at positions 8 to 526 of the family's 1533-position model. The record is from RNAcentral.